CCCCUCCACGGAGCCCCCGCGCCUCUGCUAGUGUCUUUGUGCCUCUUGUCAUGGUGUGGGCUGCCAGGCGUAAUUGUUCAUGUCACGUAUGUAUCUCCCCGGCACCUUUCCAACACAAGGUCAGGUCUGGAAAGCAUCCAUGGCUGUGAUCCAAUGCACUGCAGUCCCGUGGGGUGAGCCCUGACCCUUCCCAGUGGCAUAGGUGCCCUGGGCUCCCCUGGCUCCCACUGGUGUCUGACGACCAUCAGGUCUCAGACGGUGAAGUCAUUGCCAUGGCCGAGUAGAAACUUGAGAAGGCGUUGGGCACAGGCGUCUCGAGAGGGCCAUGGGCAGCAGGCCUGCAGGUGCGAGGCGUCCAGGGAAAGUGGGCCAGCGAGUGUUCAGAGUCGCCCAUGUGACAGAACUCUCAAGGGGUGUUGAAAAGUGAGGGCCGGCCUCCUUGAAUAAAUGCAGACAGAUCCACAGGUGAGGAGUGAACUGUUGAAGGAGGACAGCAGCGAGGCUGGUUACCAGACUGGACCCGUUGGUGUCCGGCCCUCACCACACGGUGACCUGAACUCACUGUGGCUCUGGUCCCAGACAGCUGUAGGGCUUCUCCAGACGCUGGCAGUGUGGUUGGAGCUCAUCUUUAAGGUAGCAUAGAGAAUUCAACAGGGAACAUCCAGAAUGGACAAGUCAAAAAACAACAAUAGAAGCCCCUUACGACUGAGGUGCCUUCCGGAAGAAACUGCUGGAAAGUUGGAAAUGGGGGCUGUGGAAUGAAGGAAAGCAGAUGAGGUGUGUCCCGUCCCUGACACCUGCGUCCACUCUGUCCCUUCUCGGCAGCCCCCAGGCAGGGGCAGAUGGGCUCUGUCUUCGGGGGGCUGCAGGGGCCUGCUUUCCUCACGAGUUCCACCUGCAGAGGCCCAGGCAUUAUCCACGCUGCGGGAAGAGGCAGUAGCCACAAGCAGAACACAGCCCCCCUCCUGGAGCCCAUGGCCCAGGUGGUAAGGGGUGGCCGGUGUGGGGGGUCCCCUGGAGCAGCUGGGCCCAGUCCCUGUGAGCGCUGCUGUCAGCCUGAAGGUGGUGAGGGGAGGGAGCCCCGGGAGUACCUGGAAGACGCGUGCCCCAGGCAUGAGGCCCCCUCGGGGCCCCACCGGCCCCAUGCCCAGGUGCCCCAGGUGCCAGUGUGACUGGGCAGUCUCCCUUGGCUGCCCCGUGUUCACUCAGCUGGUGGAGCAGAUGAGUCUCUGAGCAUCUUGGGGUUGGCAGCGGUCGCAACUUGUGAUCACAGAACACAGAUUCCGAGAAGCACUUGAGAUUCUGUUCAGGUUUUCAAAGACGCGUGUGUGCGUGCCCUGGCGGCGCAGCAGAUCCCACUUCUGACCGAGGCAGGGUGUGUGUUUACACAGAUGAGCCUGGGCAGAGGGAGCCCAGAGGCCCUGGCAUGGCGCCCCCCUCCUUCCAGCACACGGAGAAGGCCUCCAUCCCUCAUAUGCCACGCUGUGACACGGUUUGGGACUGGCAGAAGAUUUAGGGCCCAGUGCACAGGCUCCUGGGCAGGCGGGAAACCAUCUCCCGAAAGCAGAAAACGUUGGCCACACGGUGGCAGCAGUCCCUCAGGCGUCCUGGUCGUUUCUGGUUGUCGCAAGUGGACUCCUCUUCCUUUGGGAGGCUGGAUCUGUCUUCCUCCUCUCACUGUGAGCAGAGGGAGGGAGAGCUAGCAGAGCCUGAGCUAGGGCCGGGAUCUAAUGACCGCCCUCUGCCUGUCCUUGGGCCCUGAAACCAGGGGCUCUUCACACACAUGCAGCUGUGAUUUCAGAGCCGGUCUCACUUCCUAUUGGCGGUGCCGGGCCAGGACAGAGUUGGACAGAGCUGUGGAAAAUGGGUCUCCAAUACUAUCUUGUUUUGAUUCCAGCGUUCCAUCAGCUGCCUUCAUGACACUUGUACAGCCGCAUUCUGAGCUCAACCCUGACCUUGCAGCUCUGUUUUUCCUUUUUGGUUACCUAUCUGUUUUUCAAGAACAACAUUGUGGAUAUAAAUAAAAUGCUAAGGGAAAUGAAA
Molecule: long non-coding RNA, 2043 nt
Filed under: Homo sapiens (human)
Lineage: Eukaryota; Metazoa; Chordata; Mammalia; Primates; Hominidae
Description: HSALNT0396400
Source: RNAcentral